This is a non-coding RNA of Hemibagrus wyckioides, 469 nucleotides long. NCBI's taxonomy places the organism in Eukaryota, Metazoa, Chordata, Actinopteri, Siluriformes, Bagridae. The record is from the annotation of a RefSeq genome assembly.
AUGAUCUCUACAUCCCUACUGCUGCUGCUGCUGGCAGCCGUACACUGUGUUCACUGUGUUGAGCUGAUCCAGACCGGAUCCACAGUAUUAACUCCUGGUCAGUCACUGACUCUGACCUGUAAAGUGUCUGGAUAUUCAUUAACUGAUAGCAGCUACUGUACAUACUGGAUACGACAACCUGCAGGAAAAACUCUGGAGUGGAUCGGAGAUAUAUGUGGUGAUGGUAACACUUACUACAGUGAAAAACUGAAAAGCAGGUUUCAGGUUUCCAGAGACACGUCCAGCAGCACAGUGACAUUAACAGGACAGAACAUGCAGACUGAAGACACAGCUGUGUAUUACUGCGCUCGUAACCACAGUGAGACAAAUAAACAACAUCCCUGUACAAAAACUCCAAGUAAACUGAAACAGUGCUAGCUCCCAACAUUCUCCUUCAUUAAAAAAUAAAUAAUAAUGAUAACAAUUCUGA